Molecule: long non-coding RNA, 1567 nt
Filed under: Solanum tuberosum (potato)
Lineage: Eukaryota; Viridiplantae; Streptophyta; Magnoliopsida; Solanales; Solanaceae
Description: long non-coding RNA (STUB_LNC001444)
Source: RNAcentral
GGGGUUGCAAAUGGAUCCGCCGGUUCACCAAUCAUUGAUGGUUCUAAAAUGGCUAAGCCUACAUUACAUGCAAUUGUACCUAGAAUUACUACUGGAAAAAUAUAUAAAAGAUCAUUGGGCCAUGCGGGCUCGCCAAAAUAAUUAUGACCCAUACUCUUAGCCAAUUUAGCUCUUAAUACAGGAUCAUUCAAGUCAGGUUUUUUUGUUAUUGGGAUAGGUGAAUUCUUAUAGAUCCAUCCCCCGAGGGAACUGGACAUGAUAAUUUUUAAUCAUCCAGCUCGAGCAAGAAUAAAAAGAACCAAACGAAUCCAUAUAUCCAUAUAAAAUAUCUAUAUGGUACCGGUAUUUACACAUACACAUAUAUGAUAUAGGAAUGGUUCAAUAUAAGAAAAAUUUGACUGAAUUCUUUUUUAUGGAGUUGCAACUAUCCAUUACAAAACAAAGAAUUCCGUUCUUACAAGUAAAUACUCAAGACCCAAGUAGGCUUACAAAUCAGAUCAUGAUAUGAUCAAGUGCUUUCUGGGUCGUCUCAGACCUUCUAAUUGGUAUUUAUCUCCAAAAUGCUUGGAGAUACACAUACAAGGUUUGCUUGUUACUAAUAUAGUCUAGCCUCUCUUCUUCUUUAGAUCCCUUGUUUCACUCUGAUAGUAUUAUUGAUCGUGUCAAUGUAGAGGAAAUGAAUACAUUUACAUACUAUUAAAUCUUAUAAGUGAACUAGAUAAAAGGGAAUCUUGAUUCCCUUUUAUCUAGUUCACUUAUACUAGAUGAAUGGUUGCCUACUCAUGUAUAACAUGAUUCGGAUCAUAGAAAGAUUCUCUUUAAGCGAACCAGCCUAUCCUCUGUAUAGAACUUACACGGCGAUUGGAACAAAGAGACACAUUCGGUUGUGAAUUCCCAUGUGGCAGGCAUAUAUCUACACAGACCAAUCAAUAGUUCAAGUCACACACUCCCAUAAUCCAUUUUCUCUUCACAAAAUUCCCUUCAAUCCCCCCGUUUAGUUGACAUGAAUGGUUAAAGGGAAAUGUCCAAAUCCAUGUCUUAUUAUUUUCAAUAAUCCAUACUUGUAGCAAUGAAUAUAUAAUCCAUUUUCCUUUCACAAAAUUCCCUUCAAUCCCCCCGUUUAGUUGACAUGAAUGGUUAAAGGGAAAUGUCCAAAUCCAUGUCUUAUUAUUUUCAAUAAUCCAUACUUGUAGCAAUGAAAUACUAUAUAUUCCUACACCAAGUAAUAAACGGUUGAUUACAAAUAGUUAGGAUAUAUUUUGACUUUCUCUAUCUAUAAAGGCCCAGAAAUACCUUUUUUACGUAUCAUUGGAAAGUGCAUUAACAUAAAUACGGCAGUAAGAAGCGGCAAUACAAAAGUGUGUAAACUAUAAAAAUGAGUCAAAGUAGAUUGUCCCACACUAGCACUUCUGCGCAAUAAUUCGACCAAAGGUAAUCCUAUUACAGAAAUAGCGUCAGGGACACCUGUUACUAUUUUCACUGCCCAAUAGCCAAUUUGGUCCCAAGGUAAGGAAUAACCAGUUACGCCAAAAGAUAUGGUUAAUACAGCAAGAACCACACCUGUAAC